This 465-nucleotide ribosomal RNA is filed under the name uncultured bacterium. Its description in RNAcentral is "partial 16S ribosomal RNA". It matches the Rfam family "Bacterial small subunit ribosomal RNA", at positions 338 to 795 of the family's 1533-position model. The record is from RNAcentral.
CCUACGGGAGGCAGCAGUGGGGAAUAUUGCGCAAUGGGCGAAAGCCUGACGCAGCGACGCCGCGUGAGGGAUGAAGGUCUUCGGAUCGUAAACCUCUGUCAGCAGGGAAGAACGGUCACUGUGCUAAUCAGCAGUGAAUUGACGGUACCUGCAAAGGAAGCACCGGCUAACUCCGUGCCAGCAGCCGCGGUAAUACGGAGGGUGCGAGCGUUAAUCGGACUUACUGGGCGUAAAGCGCUCGUAGGCGGUAUGUCAAGUCAAGGGUGAAAUCCCCGGGCUCAACGUGGGAACUGCCUUUGAAACUGGCAGACUGGAGUGUGUGAGAGGAUAGUGGAAUUCCAGGUGUAGGAGUGAAAUCCGUAGAUAUCUGGAGGAACAUCAGUGGCGAAGGCGACUAUCUGGCACAUAACUGACGCUGAGGAGCGAAAGCGUGGGUAGCAAACAGGAUUAGAUACCCCAGUAGUC